GGCAAACAUCCUCCGAGACUCCAAGGGCAAGGCCAUGGGCGCUUUAUUCCGGCUGCUGCUCCAGGAACGUGGGAAAGCAGCGGAGUUUUAUUCUAGGGGAAGGAAACAAAGGCGGCCGAGUGCCAGCUGCACGUUUGGUGGGAUUUGGUCAUCAGGGGUGGACAUGCUGCCCAAUGUAGCUGUGGGCAGUUUAACCCGGCUUGGUCCGUCGCGUCCUGUUCUAGGAAUCGAUUAUUCAAAGAAGGAAUUUAGAGGGACUGCAGAAAAUGUUACAGGUCUUAACACCAUUUUGCAUUUCCGCAAACGAACAAGAAGUUAAUCCCUGUGUUAGCGAUUUCUAAGCCCAUUUGCCUUGUGGCCCAAGAACGUUGAGCUUGAAAUUUGAUGAAACUUGCCUUAAGGCUCAAGUACGAGGCCAGCUUUCAAAAAUGGUUUUGUGCCUUGAUUGGAUUUAUCGUACUCUACGGCUCUAUUGGUUCAAGCUUAUGCGUUGGGCCUUUUAAAAUGUGUGUUUCCUGAUAAUUCCUGCCUAGUUGUUGGAUUUAUCGUACUCUACGGCUCUGUUGGUUCAAGCUUAUGCGUUGGGCCUUUUAAAAUGUGUGUUUCCUGAUAAUUCCCUUCAGCUUGUCAACUGGGGGUGAUGUGGGGGGGAGAAAGAGAGAGAGGAGAGAGAGAGACUGUACUUGCAGGUUUUCCUUGUGCUAUUCAAUGUUUUGCUUCCUAUGUUUUGAAGUUUUAUUAUUAACUGCAGGUAUCGGUGUUUCAUUACUGAAUAGAUAUAGCCAAAUUCCUUCCCCCAAAAGAUUAUAAAGUUUCCUAGUCCUACCAGCAAAAUCAUUAAGUUCAUUAAGGCAAAUCCCCUCUAGCGCUGGAUGUUGAUGCUGUCUUUAAUUUUGUGUUUUUCUGACUAUUUGUGCAAUUGAGGAUUGUUUUGGUCUAUUGGCCAUUUGGCUUUUCUCUUUUGCAAAUGUUCAUAUCCUUUGUCCAGUUUUCUUUGGGAUGAUUUUUCCUUUUCUUAUCAAUUUGUAAACAGUGUACAAAUUGCAUUGUACAUUAGGGAUAUUAACAGUCUGUCAGUUACACUGUACAUUAGGGAUAUUACAUUAGAGAUAUUAACAUCUUUGUCCAUUAAGGAUAUUAACCAUCUGUCAGUUACAUUGCAGUAUUUUUUCCCAAACUCUUUUUGUCUUUUGCAUUUUAUGUUUUUUUAAAUGUGCAAUUAGAAAAAUUUUAUGUGGGCUGGGCACAGUAAUCCCAGCACCCAUCUCUACUAAAAAAAAAAAAAAAA
RNAcentral lists this long non-coding RNA (1288 nucleotides) under Pongo abelii (Sumatran orangutan). Its description in RNAcentral is "lincRNA". The record is from RNAcentral. Lineage: Eukaryota; Metazoa; Chordata; Mammalia; Primates; Hominidae.